GCCAAUGUAUAAUACUACCAACCAGUAAGGAUCUACCUAUUUGCAGCCUAAAAUGGUUGUAAUCAAAGCUAAAUUCACUCCAGAGAAGGCCCUAUGCUUCAUGGUCAGCUAUGCAAAUUUAUUUCCUCAUUAAGAUAUCACAAUUCGAGAAAUUGGGCAGCAAACGAGGGUACUCCUCAGAAAAAGCCACCACUAUGUCGCCGCUGCCGUGGGUAUUGCUUUAGGAGCCUCAACGAACAGCUGAGGCUUCAACGCCGAGAAUGUCACCACCUUGGAGUUUCCGUUCUACGAGUCGCCAUUAUUAACAACCUCCUGCACCAUCAUCAACUGUUUGAAGAGAGAGAAUAACCCUAAGAAAGAGAACGUAGAUGAAGAAAUAGGAAAUUAAAACCCUCACUGGGGCAAUAAUGGAGGAGAAGUUAAAGAAGAGGCCACCACUAUGUCGCCGAUGCCGCCACCACUACGCCGCCACUAUUUCUAGGGUUAGAGGGAGUCGAGAGGGAGGAGAAUGAGAUGUGCUGCAUAUCAGAGUUAUCUGAGUGAAAGAGUUGAGCUAGUGAAAUGAGAGAGACACAGU
This 577-nucleotide long non-coding RNA is filed under the name Panax ginseng (ginseng). RNAcentral describes it as "long non-coding RNA (PGIN_LNC000513)". The record is from RNAcentral. Lineage: Eukaryota; Viridiplantae; Streptophyta; Magnoliopsida; Apiales; Araliaceae.